AAUCAAAAUGUAGCCAGGUGCAUUGGGGAAAGCACUGACAUCGGCGUCAGACAGACUUAAGUUCAUAUCUGAUUCUGCUAUAUGACAACGUGUGGGCUAUGUGGCUAACUUCUCAGAGCUUCAGUUUUCCCAAGGGCAAAAUGAAAAUAAUAGAAAUAAUAGAAUCCACCUCACAGGGCUGUGGUGAGAAUUGGAUAUGAAGCACAUACAGCAUAUUACAUCAACUAAACACAUGCUAAACACAUGACAGAAUUGCUCUGUUGAAGUUUUGCAAGGUCAAAUGACUCACUUUGUCUAAUGGAAUGGGAACGAACAAUUUUUUUGUGUCACGUUUGAACAGAUAUCUUUGAGAAGUUUAUGAUUCUCCAAGUUCUCUUUCUCCUACUGUGGCACCUACUGACAAGAUAAAUGUGUAGAGGUUCCUGAGUCUAGGGGUGAGUCUUGCAUAUCUGAUGAAUCCACUAGUAAAAGUACCACUACUGAAAUCAUGCAAAUAUAUUUUUUGAGACCUUAUCAACCUUGGCAUGGAAUUAGAAGAGCAAAAAGCUGAGUUGAAUUGAUGAAAAGAAUCCCAAGUCAUUAAUUACUAAUGAUGGAGCUUGUAAAGUACAGCAUUACUGGAGAAAGCAACUGCCUUUCCUCAUACACAUCAUAUUUUUAU
RNAcentral lists this non-coding RNA (661 nucleotides) under Pongo abelii (Sumatran orangutan). The record is from RNAcentral. Lineage: Eukaryota; Metazoa; Chordata; Mammalia; Primates; Hominidae.